RNAcentral lists this ribosomal RNA (1027 nucleotides) under Potamanthus sp. MT-2014. RNAcentral's name for it is "16S ribosomal RNA". It matches the Rfam family "Bacterial large subunit ribosomal RNA", at positions 710 to 2700 of the family's 2925-position model. The record is from RNAcentral. Lineage: Eukaryota; Metazoa; Arthropoda; Insecta; Ephemeroptera; Potamanthidae.
AAAUCCCGAAUUGGAAAGAGCUAGGUCAUUAUAUAAGUUAAAGUGGUAGAUUUAUUUAACAUAGUGCCCUAGUGGUGAAAGAUUAAUCGGUUUCCAAGAUAUCUGGUUUCUUAAGAAAUGAAUUUAAUUCAAAUAUAAUUGUAAAUUAACUUAUAAUAAUUUAAUUUUUCUUUUAUAUAAAAUGUUUAGGGGAUAAGCUCUAGAUAAUUUUAAACUAGUUUUAGAUUUAAGUUUUGUAGGCUUGAAAUUAGCCAUCGAAUUAAGAAUGUAAUAAUCUAAGUUGGGUAAUAAAAAUUUAGAUAAGGUUAAAUAAAUAUUAAGAAUUCUUUUAGAAUUUAAGGGAAGAAUCAUAAUGAUAGAAUAAAUAUAUUAUUUAGAAAGUAAAUAAAAUCUUUAUAAGGAACUCGGCAAAUUUACACUCGCCUGUUUAUCAAAAACAUCGCCUUUUGAAUUAAUAGAAGGUCUAGCCUGCCCACUGAGAAUUGAAGGGCCGCGGUAUUUUGACCGUGCAAAGGUAGCAUAAUCAUUAGUCUUCUAAUUAAAGGCUGGAAUGAAUGGCUGAACGAGGUGUAAGCUGUCUCAUAAAGAUAAUUAAAAUUUGACUUCCUAGUGAAAAGGCUGGGAUAGGAUUGGAGGACGAGAAGACCCUAUAGAGCUUGAUAAUUAAUUUUAAUAAAAAUAUAGGAGAAGUUGGGUUAUUAAAAUAGGUUAUUUUGUUGGGGUGACAGGGAAAUAAAAUAACUUUUCUUUUAUAGAAUCACAAAUUUGUGUGUAUUUGAUCCGUAAAUAACGAUUAUAAGACUAAGUUACCUUAGGGAUAACAGCGUAAUCUUUUUCGAGAGUUCUAAUCGACAAAAAGGUUUGCGACCUCGAUGUUGGACUAAGGGUAAUUUCGGGUGCAGAUGUUCGAAGUUUAGGUCUGUUCGACCUUUAAAACCUUACAUGAUCUGAGUUCAGACCGGCGUGAGCCAGGUUGGUUUCUAUCCUCAAUGUAUAAGAAUAUUUUAGUACGAAAGGACCAAAUAUU